Molecule: unclassified non-coding RNA, 2975 nt
Filed under: Neodiprion pinetum (white pine sawfly)
Lineage: Eukaryota; Metazoa; Arthropoda; Insecta; Hymenoptera; Diprionidae
Description: glucose-6-phosphate 1-dehydrogenase, transcript variant X3
Source: RNAcentral
UUACAACUACAACUGGCUGUCCGAAGGCAGAAAAGUCUCGCCGUGUAUUAUAGCUGUUGAGUGAAGAAAAGAAUAAGCGACGUGAAAGGAAAUUGAACAGGCGUAGAUCACUGUAAAAUGGCGAACUCAACGAGAGAAACAACGACUGAGCAAAGUCUAGCUUUCAUCAGGCAGUCUUUGAAAUCCGCUACGAUGGAUCACCUGGAAGGAACACACUUUGACGGCUCGAUACCUCAUAUUUUUGUAAUACUUGGAGCAUCUGGUGACUUGGCGAAGAAGAAGAUCUAUCCAACUUUGUGGUGGCUGUUCAGGGACAACCUGUUGCCAAAAACGACGACAUUCUUUGGAUACUCGCGCAGUAAAUUGACAGUGAAAAGCAUUAGGGAAAACUGCCACAAGUAUAUGAAUGUCAAGCCUGAGGAAGCUGGAAAGUAUGAGGAAUUUUGGUCUUUGAAUCAUUACGUUUCUGGAAAAUACGAUGUGAGACGAGACUUCGAACUGCUUAAUCAGGAACUCGAGAAAUUUGAAAAACCUGCCGCUGCUCACAGACUUUUUUAUUUGGCUCUGCCUCCCUCUGUUUUCGAAGAAUCCACAUCACACAUCAGGAGUACCUGCAUGGCCGGAAAAGGCUGGACAAGGAUAAUUAUAGAAAAACCGUUUGGACGUGACGCCGCCUCGUCUGAGCAACUUUCUAACCACCUUGCAUCGCUCUUCAAGGAGGAACAAAUGUACCGGAUAGAUCACUACCUGGGUAAAGAAAUGGUGCAGAAUUUGAUGACACUGAGGUUUGGGAACAGGAUAUUCAGCCCAACUUGGAACAGGGACAGCGUAGCUUCGGUUCAGAUUUCUUUCAAAGAGCCGUUUGGGACUCAGGGAAGAGGCGGGUACUUCGACGAGUUCGGCAUCAUAAGAGACGUCAUGCAAAAUCACCUUCUUCAGAUACUAUCCCUGGUGGCGAUGGAGAAACCCGCUUCUUGCCAUCCGGAUGACAUUAGAGAUGAGAAAGUCAAGGUAUUGCGAUGCAUAAGUCCCCUCGAAUUGGACGACGUUGUGCUCGGUCAGUAUGUUGGCAAUCCCAACUCCGACGUUCCCGAUGCCAGAAUGGGAUACCUGGACGAUCCUACCGUUCCUGCUGGUUCAAACACCCCAACCUAUGCCAUGGCGGUUGUAAAAAUUAACAACGAAAGAUGGGACGACGUGCCGUUCAUCCUGAGGUGUGGAAAAGCAUUGAAUGAGCGCAAAGCAGAGGUUCGAAUUCAGUACAGAGAUGUGCCUGGAGAUAUAUUCGAUGGUAAGCCAAAGAGAAAUGAAUUGGUGAUAAGGUUGCAGCCUGGAGAAGCAAUUUAUAUUAAAAUGAUGACCAAAUCUCCGGGCAUAACAUUUGACAUGGAGGAAACUGAGUUGGAUUUGACCUACGGCAGUAGAUACAAGGAGCUCAAGCUGCCCGAUGCAUAUGAAAGACUAAUUUUAGACGUAUUCUGCGGUUCGCAAAUGCACUUUGUAAGGAGUGAUGAACUCGCCGAAGCUUGGAGAAUUUUCACGCCGUUACUUCAUCGGAUUGAAAAGGAAAACAUCCAGCCGAUACCUUACGAAUACGGAUCACGAGGACCCAAGGAAGCUAACGAAAAAGCGAAGGAAAACAAUUUCAAGUACUAUGGUUCCUAUAAGUGGGUGAAACCUGAUCAUCAGUAAUUAAAUCGCCAGUUUUAUCACAAAUCGUAAUAUUUUAUUAGUAAAGGAAAUGUUGUCGGCGCGCCGUAAAAAUUUUAACAAUCAACGAAAUUAAUAUUUAUAUUCCUUCGUUCCACAAUUGACGUUUAUACAAUUCUAAAAUCAUUCCUGGAAACUAUUUCCUAGCUUGCUCAAAAUGGUGUUUUUGUAAUCAUGUUUACUUAAAAUACAACGAAUUUUUCAUUUCUUUAUUUUAUGCACAUUUCUUCCCGGUAUAAACAAAUCAUUCCAUAGAUCGUUUUUUUUUCAAGCGUUACAUAAGGAUCAAUUCAACAUAAACGAGCCAUAAACAAUAAAAUUAAUCAACAUUAUAGUUGAAAUCAUGCAUCCUACCACGACAACAAAUAAUGUACAAUAUUUUUUAUACAUAUUUAAAUAUUUCAUAAUUAUUAGGCUAUGUUAUUGUUAAUCAUUAUUGUAAAAACGAAAAAAAAACUUUCGAAAAGAAUGCAAUAACUUGAUCAUCUGUGAUGCGCAAUAAAAUUGUUGAGUAAAGUAGAGAAAAAUAUUUACGCAACGGAAAAAUUAAGCAAAAUGAUGAAUACUGGCAAACUUAAUACUCACUAAGUACGUAAGAUUAUUACAAACUCCAAAGGAACAAUCUACGUUACAUUCCGUCACCCAUAAUCUUAACAUUUACUCUGAGCACAGAAUGUUUAUAAUAAAUAAGGUACACAAAUUUCGGUUGUUUCUAUUUAACUAUCAUCGUCUAUGUGAGACUUGUGUGGACCAAUUGCAAUGAGACGAGACUAUUACUAUAUGUUAAAUAAAUAAAAAUCCUGAAAGUUCAAAGAUUGAAAAUAAAUCCAGCGAUUUAUGUAUUAUAAAUGAUAAAUAUUACCCCCUUGCGAUCUAACAGCAAAUACUUACUUAUAAGUACGUGAGAAAUAUUAAUUUUAUCGUCUGCCAAAUGUUGUACGCGUAAUACGGCACAAGAAAAAAAUACCAUAAAUUUACUGUAAGUUUGCUUUAUUUUAUUCAAUUAAUAUGUUUCCACGAUUUAUUGUAAAAUUUAUCAAGUUACAAAUAUAUAGGUAUAAUAUACAUGCACGUCCCGUGUGCACGCCUACUCGCAGAUGACGAAUAAUUCGAAUUAAUUAUACGGAAUACGGAGUUUAGUUCAUUUUCCUUAUUGUGUACAUAAAUUAAAUACUUGUACAGGAAAAAAAAAAAAGAAAAUUUCAGUUGUAAAUCAUGUCAAACAAUUUAGUCAAAAAGAAAACUGCCCCAUGAAUUUGAUGCGU